Molecule: ribosomal RNA, 253 nt
Filed under: uncultured bacterium
Lineage: Bacteria
Description: partial 16S ribosomal RNA
Rfam family: Bacterial small subunit ribosomal RNA
Source: RNAcentral
UACGUAGGGGGCAAGCGUUAUCCGGAUUUACUGGGUGUAAAGGGAGCGUAGACGGCAGAGCAAGUCUGAAGUGAAAGCCCGCGGCCCAACUGCGGGACUGCUUUGGAAACUGCCCGGCUAGAGUGCUGGAGAGGUAAGCGGAAUUCCUAGUGUAGCGGUGAAAUGCGUAGAUAUUAGGAGGAACACCAGUGGCGAAGGCGGCUUACUGGACAGUAACUGACGCUGAGGCUCGAAAGCGUGGGGAGCAAACAGG